RNAcentral lists this ribosomal RNA (568 nucleotides) under uncultured bacterium. RNAcentral describes it as "bacterial SSU rRNA". It matches the Rfam family "Bacterial small subunit ribosomal RNA", at positions 243 to 803 of the family's 1533-position model. The record is from RNAcentral.
AGCUAGUUGGUAAGGUAACGGCUUACCAAGGCAAUGAUGCAUAGCCGAGUUGAGAGACUGAUCGGCCACAUUGGGACUGAGACACGGCCCAAACUCCUACGGGAGGCAGCAGUAGGGAAUCUUCCACAAUGGACGCAAGUCUGAUGGAGCAACGCCGCGUGAGUGAAGAAGGGUUUCGGCUCGUAAAGCUCUGUUGGUAGUGAAGAAAGAUAGAGGUAGUAACUGGCCUUUAUUUGACGGUAAUUACCUAGAAAGUCACGGCUAACUACGUGCCAGCAGCCGCGGUAAUACGUAGGUGGCAAGCGUUGUCCGGAUUUAUUGGGCGUAAAGCGAGUGCAGGCGGUUCAAUAAGUCUGAUGUGAAAGCCUUCGGCUCAACCGGAGAAUUGCAUCAGAAACUGUUGAACUUGAGUGCAGAAGAGGAGAGUGGAACUCCAUGUGUAGCGGUGGAAUGCGUAGAUAUAUGGAAGAACACCAGUGGCGAAGGCGGCUCUCUGGUCUGCAACUGACGCUGAGGCUCGAAAGCAUGGGUAGCGAACAGGAUUAGAUACCCUGGUAGUCCAUGCCGU